RNAcentral lists this unclassified non-coding RNA (164 nucleotides) under soil metagenome. RNAcentral's name for it is "partial internal transcribed spacer 1". The record is from RNAcentral.
UAAUAGUGUUUAACUCAAGCACUUUUAAUCCAUAUCCACUACUUGCUCGGGGCAAUGCUCAGGUCGAGCUCAUUCCCCCUUUGGGGAGGAUCCGACGCAGACCCUUCAACCCUGUUAUCUUAGACUCUUGUCUGAAAUAUUACCUGAAUAAAGCAAUUCAAAUA